AAGUGGCUAGUCUAACCGCAAGGAGGACGGUCACCACGGCAGGAGUUCAUGACUGGGGUG
RNAcentral lists this ribosomal RNA (60 nucleotides) under uncultured bacterium. RNAcentral describes it as "partial 16S ribosomal RNA". The record is from RNAcentral.